This 466-nucleotide ribosomal RNA is filed under the name uncultured Rhodocyclaceae bacterium. RNAcentral describes it as "bacterial SSU rRNA". It matches the Rfam family "Bacterial small subunit ribosomal RNA", at positions 916 to 1381 of the family's 1533-position model. Lineage: Bacteria; Pseudomonadati; Pseudomonadota; Betaproteobacteria; Rhodocyclales; Rhodocyclaceae. The record is from RNAcentral.
ACGGGACCCGCACAAGCGGUGGAUGAUGUGGUUAAUUCGAUGCAACGCGAAAACCUUACUACCCUUGACAUGUCCGGAAUCCCGAAGAGAUUUGGGAGUGCUCGCAAGAGAACCGGAACACAGGUGCUGCAUGGCUGUCGUCAGCUCGUGUCGUGAGAUGUUGGGUUAAGUCCCGCAACGAGCGCAACCCUUGUCAUUAGUUGCCAUCAUUUGGUUGGGCACUCUAAUGAGACUGCCGGUGACAAACCGGAGGAAGGUGGGGAUGACGUCAAGUCCUCAUGGCCCUUAUGGGUAGGGCUUCACACGUCAUACAAUGGUCGGUACAGAGGGUUGCCAACCCGCGAGGGGGAGCUAAUCCCACAAAGCCGAUCGUAGUCCGGAUCGCAGUCUGCAACUCGACUGCGUGAAGUCGGAAUCGCUAGUAAUCGUGGAUCAGCAUGUCACGGUGAAUACGUUCCCGGGUCUU